RNAcentral lists this ribosomal RNA (607 nucleotides) under Marmoricola sp. RNAcentral describes it as "bacterial SSU rRNA". It matches the Rfam family "Bacterial small subunit ribosomal RNA", at positions 184 to 804 of the family's 1533-position model. The record is from RNAcentral. Lineage: Bacteria; Bacillati; Actinomycetota; Actinomycetes; Propionibacteriales; Nocardioidaceae.
UCAGGCAUCUGAUGGUGGUGGAAAGUUCCGGCGGUGAAGGAUGAGCUCGCGGCCUAUCAGCCUGUUGGUGAGGUAAUGGCUCACCAAGGCUUCGACGGGUAGCCGGCCUGAGAGGGUGACCGGCCACACUGGGACUGAGACACGGCCCAGACUCCUACGGGAGGCAGCAGUGGGGAAUAUUGGACAAUGGGCGAAAGCCUGAUCCAGCAACGCCGCGUGAGGGAUGACGGCCUUCGGGUUGUAAACCUCUUUCAGCAGGGACGAAGCGCAAGUGACGGUACCUGCAGAAGAAGCACCGGCCAACUACGUGCCAGCAGCCGCGGUAAUACGUAGGGUGCGAGCGUUGUCCGGAAUUAUUGGGCGUAAAGGGCUCGUAGGCGGUCUGUUGCGUCGGGAGUGAAAACUCAGGGCUUAACCCUGAGCCUGCUUCCGAUACGGGCAGACUAGAGGUAUGCAGGGGAGAACGGAAUUCCUGGUGUAGCGGUGAAAUGCGCAGAUAUCAGGAGGAACACCGGUGGCGAAGGCGGUUCUCUGGGCAUUACCUGACGCUGAGGAGCGAAAGUGUGGGGAGCGAACAGGAUUAGAUACCCUGGUAGUCCACACCGUA